RNAcentral lists this ribosomal RNA (167 nucleotides) under uncultured bacterium. RNAcentral describes it as "partial 16S rRNA". It matches the Rfam family "Bacterial small subunit ribosomal RNA", at positions 354 to 511 of the family's 1533-position model. The record is from RNAcentral.
UAGGGGAAUCUUCCACAAUGGGCGGAAAGACCUGAUGGAGCAACGCCGCGAGUGUGAUGAAGGGUUUCGGCUCGUAAAACACUGUUGUAAGAGAAGAAUGACAUUGAGAGUAACUGUUCAAUGUGUGACGGUAUCUUACCAGAAAGGAACGGCUAAAUACGUGCUAG